Molecule: long non-coding RNA, 273 nt
Organism: Sitophilus oryzae (rice weevil)
Lineage: Eukaryota; Metazoa; Arthropoda; Insecta; Coleoptera; Curculionidae
Exons: 2
Source: RefSeq, a predicted model, not a curated record
UGGAAUUCAUUGAUGGUCGAGAAGACCGAUUGGCAAGAAAUUGAGCUUGGCCUGUGUGUAGUUGGAAUUCCGGGGAAACCUUGAAAAGGGAUAUCUUUGUUGGUUGGAGGACAGGAGUUGUAGAUGGGUGCGUGGACGUACUGGGAUGAGUACGAGGACAGUUAAGGAACCCUUUUCCAUGGAGUAACAUGCGUUGAGACGCCAUCUUGUCUUGGAAGGUCCGCAUGGUGGAAAGGUAUUUUACUAUGUCCAAACUAGAACGUGUCACUAAAA